Non-coding RNA from Podarcis lilfordi (Lilford's wall lizard), 5721 nucleotides. NCBI's taxonomy places the organism in Eukaryota, Metazoa, Chordata, Lepidosauria, Squamata, Lacertidae. The record is from the annotation of a GenBank genome assembly.
GCUCUAUCAAGCACCAAGAUCUCAGCCAAGAGUGAAGCUGCCUCCUCCGGCCUCCUUUCUCCUUAUGCUUCCCAGCCUCGCUGAUGCAAUGUCCCCAGAAUACUGGAUUUAUAGCAUCCCAUAUACCGUAACUGCAACGCUAGGUUGGGUUAAAGUGUUUUAUUUUAAAUAAACGGUUUGUGCUGGUUUUAGUUGUUCCCUGGGCACCACAUCUGCAAGCAAACUGGGGUUGAAAUACCAUUUAUAAGACUUUGGCACAGACCCACCCAAACCCAAAGUGAGGUGUGGCCCAAUAUUUUAAUUGUUCCUAUGUCUGUGUCCUUUAAGAUGAAAAGGACCCAAGAAAUCAGUUCACAUGAUGACAUGUAUAUUCAUUCAUAUGAAUAUAUUGUUGCUGCCACGGGUAUUAUGUGUAUGUGUGUUUUAAUGAGCUGAAUAGAGUGAAAGAUUAUAAAUUGGUUGGGUGUGGUGAGUAUGAACUUAACAGUGCUUAAUUUAUUUUUUGACUGCUAUUUUGUUAAUGUUGUUUUACAGAUUAGAAAUGAUGUAUUGAUUUAUUAGUCAUAUAAUACAUAAAUAGAAAAGGGUAAAGGAGCCCUGGACGGUUAAGUCCGGCCAAAGGUGACUAUGGGGUUGCAGCGCUCAUCUUGCUUUCAGGCCGAGCGAGUUGGUGUUUGUCCACAAACAGCUUUCCAGGUCAUUUGGUCAUCAUGACUAAACCGCUUUCUGGCACAACGGGACACCAUGACAGAACCCAAAGCACACAGAAAUGUCGUUUACCUUCCUGCCACAGUGGUACCUAUUUAUCUACUUAGAAUCAUAGAAUCAUAGAGUUGGAAGAGACCACAAGGGCCAUCGAGUCCAACCCCCUGCCAAGCAGGAAACACCAUCAGAGCACUCCUGACAUACUUGCACUGGAAUGCUUUCGAACUGUUAAAUUGGCAGGAGCUGAGACAGAGUAACGGGAGCUCAUCCUAUUGUGGGGAUUCGAACCACCGACCUUCCGAUUGGCAAGCCCAAGAGGCUCGGUGGUUUAGACCACAGCGCCACCCGCAUCCCCUAAUACAUAAUACAUAAAUACAUAACUAAGAAAAGGUACAGCAAUACAAUUAUUCCUUUCUUCUCUCUUUUAACAAUGUGUGUUUGCUUUACAAAACAACAAUUUAAACUGACUCCGACUCUGCAAGUUAGAGUUCUGCUAUACCACAGAUAACAAAAUUCAUCCAGUGGGCGAGACGAGGACUAGGAUUGCUGCCUAACUGUGGAUCCUUUGGCUUGCUAGAUCCAGCUGCCUCCUCUUCAUUCAGAAAGUAAUUCCAGGUAAUUUUAUCAUCUACUUUAAUUUCCUUCUUACCAACGGUUGAUUAAAUUACAAAUGCGUCAAGUCACAAGGCCUCUGUUUUCUUGCGACAAGACACAUUUCCCUGGCAGCUGAUCACUUCCAGGGACACAAGCCUUGUUUCUGUACAGUCAAACCUCGGAUCCUGUUUUGGCUCCCAAAAGCAGAAAACAUGGAAGUAAAUGUUCUGGUUUUCAAAGGUUUUUCGGAAGCUGAACGUCCGACACCGCUUCCGCUGAGUGCAGGAAGCCAUGCCUCGGUUAUUGAACAUUUCAGAAACUGAACGGGCUUCCAUAACGGAUUACAUUUGACAACCGAGGUUUGACUGUAUAGCAAAUGCAUUAUUUGAGGUGCAAGAGUGGAUUGUACCUUCAGUUUGAAUUUGUGGGUGGGGAGCAGGCCUCAACUCCCUGAAGCUUGGGAAAUGUUAGAUUAGGACAACUGUGGAGGGAAGAUGAUGAGCGUUCAGCUUUAAAACACUUCUUUCUAAGUGAUCUAUGGAGUACAAUAAUUUAGAAAAUUAAAGUGCUGUUGGCAUCUUGAAUCUAUGAUUCAGCACAGGACACUAGUAUUUUACUUAAUUGGAGAGGAUCAAGACAGAAUUUAUUAUUACUGAGUCAGAGGCUAUUAUGCGCUACAAUAACCGUAAAGCAGAAUAAACCUAAUUCCUAAACCCCAGCAGGAGCAAGGGAUUUGCUCCAGCCGUGCACCUGCGUUGGCAUGAGCUCCCUGCCACUCUUGCCCGUCCUGGGAAAUGGCAGUGACACCGCUCCUGGCAGGAGCCCGGGCGCCCCCUGAGCCACUCGUGCCGCGAGAGCCAGGCUGACAACAAUAGUUUUAGAAAAAGGACAAGGGCAACUGCGGCCAGCAGGAGCAGGACAUUGGCUGCUCAAGGCAAGAGCAGCUGACGGGGUGCCACUAGGAAGCCAGGCGCCCAGAAGUGGCAUCACUUCUGCUUACCAGGGCAGGGCAGGAGUUGGGCGGGCGUAGAGGCAGGAGACCAGAUUGCCCACACUAGUGUGCCUUUGCUGCCAGGCCUCACUGCCACUCUGCUUUGCUCCAUCCUAUUGCAAUGCCCCACGGAUAUCAGGAACUGGACUGAAGAGGAAUGGUGGGGGCUGCCCCACUUCUCCUGAACCAAAAACAGGAGGACAGUAUAGAUUACUGCAGAUGGUGACAGCAGCCACGAAAUUAAAAGACGCCUGCUUCUUGGGAGAAAAGCAAUGACAAACCUAGAUAGCAUCCUAAAAAACAGAGACAUCACCUUGCCAACAAAGGUCCGUCUAGUUAAAACUAUGGUUUUCCCAGUAGUGAUGUAUGGAAGUGAGAGCUGGACCAUAAAGAAGGCUGAUCGCCGAAGAAUGGAUGCUUUUGAAUUCUGGUGCUGGAGGAGACUCUUGAGAGUCCCAUGGACUGCAAGAAGACCAAACCUCUCCAUUCUCAAGGAAAUCAGCCCUGAGUGCUCACUGGAAGGACAGAUCCUGAAGCUGAGGCUCCAAGACUUUGGCCACCUCGUGAGAAGAGAAGACUCCCUGGAAAAGACCCUGAUGUUGGGAAAGAUGGAGGGCACAAGGAGAAGGGGACGACAGAGGACGAGAUGGUGGGACAGUGUUCUUGAAGCUAGCAGCAUGAGGAAGGCAGUGGAAGACAGGAGUGCCUGGCGUGCUCUGGUCCAGGGGGUCACGAAGAGUCGGACACGACUAAACAACUCAACAACAACAAAUAGAUUUAGAACAGUGGUUUGCAGAAGGGCAUAGUUGAGAGGCUGCAGAGGGCAGAAGCUGGGAAAUACUGAAAGAGGAACAGCAGGAAGGAGAAGCACCAGGGGAGAGGCAGCUGACAGAUUCAGGGUCCUUGGAAAGCAUUCCUGACCCCCCCCCCAACCAGACGGGCAUUGAGGGUAUUAGAACAGAGAGCUCAGAGGCAGAAAGCUCAGAUUAACCGAUGCAGGAGGGAUAAGGGGGCCGUAGGGGGUGGGACUUUCCUUGGAGCAACACCAUGAUUAGGAAGGCUGCAUUCCUUCAUUGUUCUCUGUAAAUCAUUGAAUAAAUUGCUUGGUAAGAAGUUUUAUCGUUUCUCUGAUUCUGGGCUGCCACCGUGGGAGGGAUCUGAUUCCCCAGCCUGACAAAGGGCCGCUCUUUUUCAUUAAGAGUCCUGCUGGCUACAGUUAUUUCAGAAAAAGAAGUAAGCAGGACCAGAAUCAAACACAGAAGUGUGGCCGAGCCCUUGGUCUUAAGGAGUCCCAGGAUGGUGGUGCUGCAGCUGUCUCAGGUGAAAGCAAGAGUUGCCACCUGGCUAAACAAACAAACAAACAAACAAACAAACAAACAAACAAAACACAAACCAGUCUUUCCUCCUUCUGGACCUUUAAGAGUGUGGGGUUGUUUUUUUAAGUGUUUGGUUAAAGAAUAAAAUAAUAAUUUCCAGGAUGCCUAGACCUAGGUUUGGGACAAGGACUCUUUGGUGAGAGAGACCCAGCAGAGAUUUAAAAUCACAAAACAGGUAGCGUGGAAUAACAAAACACAAGUGUGAAAUAUAGUCUGUUAGACCCUUAAAAUAUCCCCUUUUAAGUUCCUUUCCAAUGUUUCCCUUUAUUUCCCUUAGCAUUGAAAGAGCACAUUUGGCAAGUUAAAGACUUAAUUUACUUACAAAGGUCAGAUUCAUGUGUUUUUCCAUGCAGCAGCAAGAAAACACAGGUAGCAAAACUUAGCUUACAAAAAUUGGUAAAAUGUUCAUAAAUUAUUGGUCUAGAAACACAAAAAUGACUUGUAAGCCAUGCACACAGUCUGAGCCUGGAGCAAUCAGGUUCGGAACUUUUCCACACAUGGAGUUCACAUGGUAGACAGAAUGAUUUUAAUUUUUUUGUAUAGAAACACAAAAAUGGCUUUGCUAAAGCCAUGCGGCCAUCUAGGCUGAUUGCUCCUUGAUUACCUAGUGGAAAAGAGAAUGAACAAAGAGCUUUGCUAACUCUUGUCCCAAGGUGAGGGGGCGUGACCUGGAUCAGUCUGGGAUGACUGCUUACUCUGUGGUCUUAACCCCUUCAUGCAUUAACUGGAGUUAAGCAUAUGAGGCUCAAUUAUCCCACAAACAGUUUUGCCAAAAUCAUUAAGUUAAGGGAAUUUCCCGGCACAGAGUCCAGCAUUAUCAUUGUGAGCGAAACUGCUGUCAAUGGGGAAGCUAUGUGAGUCGAUUCAGAAGUUGGCAACCUAACCUUAGAAAUAACCUCACAGGACAGAGAAUCCAGUAGGAGAACUCUUCAAUCUCCCAGGACAUUCAAUACAGGAUCUCAAAGCAGCUGUCUUAUUACAAAAGAAUUUCAGAAAUAGACUUGAAAGAGAACUUGCUGAAUUACAACUUCUUACUAAACUGAAAACUAUGGCGAGACCUGGUCUGAAUAGAGAUAUUGGAUUCUUGUCUCAUUACCUAUGGUAAAACUAUUUCUGGUCAUCUGCACACUAUCCCUUGCUUUCUCCUGUAGGACUAAUUGCAGUCGUUAACAGUCGUCAAUAGGUUUACCAUUGCCAUUGAGUCAAUCCCCCAUCUCCUACUACCCUUCUGAGAAAAACCCCUCCCCACCCUCCCGCUAUAUAUAAGGGUCUGACGACUUCUGUUUCAGCGUAUCUGAAGAAGUGUGCAUGCACACGAAAGCUUAGACCCAGAACAAACUUAGUUGGUCUCUAAGGUGCUACUGGACAAUUUUUUAAUUUCGACUUAGAAAUAGUGGAAUGUUAUUUCCUGGUACUUAAUACCUGUCUGUUUGUAUUUACCCACUUCCACUACUGCAUAUUUCUUUCUUUUGCUUUCCCGGGUGGUUUCACAUUGCUUUGAAACAGUAUGACAAAAUAGUUCCCCUUUAAUGGAAUCAGAGGCUCUUUUCUUCCGGUGAUCUCAUUAAAACCACAAAACAAGCCAGCAGAGGGUGUGAGAGCCAUAAUUAACAGCUGGAAUGUCAAUGGCAAUCCAGUUACACAUAAUCACUUUUUUGUUUUCUGUGUCUUCCAUAAGCAAAUUACCCUUUGAAAAAGACAAACAUUUUUAUUGCCUUUGAACCUAAUUCAUAUAGAUUAUUCAUUGGAUCUCAUUUCAGCUUCAGUACUUCUGCUGCCUGACUUUGGUGCAACAUAGAUUUUUAAAUAUAGAAGAUCUUCAAACGAAUGGUGAAGCAACAGGAAGGAAACAAAAGUAAUAUUUCUGGACUGUUUCAUUAUUUCUCUAGUUUAUUGGGAGCUUCAAACUCUGAUGGCCAAUGUGACCUAGCAGAACAGACAAUAGAGAUUGCGGCAGUAGAUGUGUACCAGAGUCCCACACACCAAUUACUCAUCUGAUUAAACACAUUUCCUUUAUUGUCUUCCAUGAAGCCUCCUGGUCUUUAUUUCCUUUUU